AAAAAUAAAUGGAAGCUUGUUAUUAUUUUAGUAACGGAAAUUAAAAAUAAAAAAGAAAUAAUAAUUAAGGCGCGCUUUCCUGUUUCCGCAUUGAAUGCACUAGCCACCCCCACGCUAAAACCACACUUCAUUUCCUGUGCUUUAAUAUAUCAAUAACCCCACACCAAAAUAAAUAAAGAAAAGGGAAAAAAAAAUCUUUAUUUCUCUCUCAGUCACUCUCUUUCAUGACUUCUCACCCCGAGCCUUGAGGAAGAACACCAGUUGUAGCGGUGCGAUUCCGAUUCGGAGUCCUCAAAGGCUUCCUCCAGAGAGACGACGCAGCGGAAUGGAUAGAUCGAACGUUCGAACAAGAGUUAGCUUGANGGAAACCGAGAGAAGAGCUCGAAAUAGGAGAUGAGCUCGAGAUCNUCUCUCUGUAACGGGUUUGGUUUUUCAAUCUUUUUCUUUCCUGUUCUUUCUCUGCUUCUUGGGUGUUUCCGAUUUUUAUGCGUGGUCCUCUCUAUCCGUUGAUCUGCACGUCUUCGAAAUUUGAUUUUCGUUUUGGGUUUUUCUCUUCGAAAUUUGAUUUUCGAAAUUUGAUUUUCUUUCCUUUUCUUUCUCAAUUUUAUACGCUUGUGGGUUGGUUUUUGCACUAUUCCAAACUCCAAUUUUACCUCAUUCACCCCCACAUUUCAUCUCACGGAUUCUCUCCUCUUCUUCCUCUCCUUUCUUGAUUGUUCUCUUCUUCACCUCUUGGGUUUCAAUUACUGCUGUUGAUUGGUGGUGUGGAGGAGCGCAGAUCUUGGUUUCGUUGCUGG
Molecule: long non-coding RNA, 797 nt
Filed under: Vigna radiata
Lineage: Eukaryota; Viridiplantae; Streptophyta; Magnoliopsida; Fabales; Fabaceae
Description: long non-coding RNA (VRAD_LNC014811)
Source: RNAcentral